GACGAACGCUGGCGGCGUGCUUAACACAUGCAAGUCGAACGCUGAAGCUCAGCUUUUGUUGGGUGGAUGAGUGGCGAACGGGUGAGUAACACGUGAGUAACCUGCCUCCUUCUUUGGGAUAACGCCCGGAAACGGGUGCUAAUACUGGAUAUUCACUGGUCUUCGCAUGGGGGUUGGUGGAAAGGGUUUUUCUGGUGGGGGAUGGGCUCGCGGCCUAUCAGCUUGUUGGUGGGGUGAUGGCCUACCAAGGCUUUGACGGGUAGCCGGCCUGAGAGGGUGACCGGUCACAUUGGGACUGAGAUACGGCCCAGACUCCUACGGGAGGCAGCAGUGGGGAAUAUUGCACAAUGGGCGCAAGCCUGAUGCAGCGACGCCGCGUGAGGGAUGGAGGCCUUCGGGUUGUGAACCUCUUUCGCUCAUGGUCAAGCCGCAACAAUGGUUGUGGUGAGGGUAGUGGGGAAAGAAGCGCCGGCUAACUACGU
This 482-nucleotide ribosomal RNA is filed under the name uncultured bacterium. RNAcentral describes it as "partial 16S ribosomal RNA". It matches the Rfam family "Bacterial small subunit ribosomal RNA", at positions 28 to 506 of the family's 1533-position model. The record is from RNAcentral.